GAUGAACGCUGGCGGCGUGCCUAAUACAUGCAAGUCGAGCGAACAGACGAGGAGCUUGCUCCUCUGACGUUAGCGGCGGACGGGUGAGUAACACGUGGAUAACCUACCUAUAAGACUGGGAUAACUUCGGGAAACCGGAGCUAAUACCGGAUAAUAUAUUGAACCGCAUGGUUCAAUAGUGAAAGACGGUUUUGCUGUCACUUAUAGAUGGAUUCGCGCCGCAUUAGCUAGUUGGUAAGGUAACGGCUUACCAAGGCAACGAUGCGUAGCCGACCUGAGAGGGUGAUCGGCCACACUGGAACUGAGACACGGUCCAGACUCCUACGGGAGGCAGCAGUAGGGAAUCUUCCGCAAUGGGCGAAAGCCUGACGGAGCAACGCCGCGUGAGUGAUGAAGGUCUUCGGAUCGUAAAACUCUGUUAUUAGGGACGAACAAAUGUGUAAGUAACUAUGCACGUCUUGACGGUACCUAAUCAGAAAGCCACGGCUAACUACGUG
Molecule: ribosomal RNA, 497 nt
Filed under: uncultured bacterium
Lineage: Bacteria
Description: partial 16S ribosomal RNA
Rfam family: Bacterial small subunit ribosomal RNA
Source: RNAcentral